GGUUAAGCGACUAAGCGUACACGGUGGAUGCCCUGGCAGUCAGAGGCGAUGAAGGACGUGCUAAUCUGCGAAAAGCGUCGGUAAGGUGAUAUGAACCGUUACAGCCGGCGAUGUCCGAAUGGGGAAACCCAGUGCAAUUCGUUGCACUAUCGUUUGAUGAAUACAUAGUCAAACGAGGCGAACCGGGGGAACUGAAACAUCUAAGUACCCCGAGGAAAAGAAAUCAACCGAGAUUCCCCCAGUAGCGGCGAGCGAACGGGGAGCAGCCCGGAGUCUGAAUCAGCUUGUGUGUUAGUGGAAGCGUCUGGAAAGUCGCAGGGUACAGGGUGAUACUCCCGUACACUAAAACGCACAGGUUGUGAACUCGAAGAGUAGGGCGGGACACGUGGUAUCCUGUCUGAAUAUGGGGGGACCAUCCUCCAAGGCUAAAUACUCCUGACUGACCGAUAGUGAACCAGUACCGUGAGGGAAAGGCGAAAAGAACCCCGGCGAGGGGAGUGAAAAAGAACCUGAAACCGUGUACGUACAAGCAGUAGGAGCCCACUUGUUGGGUGACUGCGUACCUUUUGUAUAAUGGGUCAGCGACUUAUAUUCUGUAGCAAGGUUAACCGUAUAGGGGAGCCGCAGGGAAACCGAGUCUUAACUGGGCGUUAAGUUGCAGGGUAUAGACCCGAAACCCGGUGAUCUAGCCAUGGGCAGGUUGAAGGUUGGGUAACACUAACUGGAGGACCGAACCGACUAAUGUUGAAAAAUUAGCGGAUGACUUGUGGCUGGGGGUGAAAGGCCAAUCAAACCGGGAGAUAGCUGGUUCUCCCCGAAAGCUAUUUAGGUAGCGCCUUGUGAACUCAUCUUCGGGGGUAGAGCACUGUUUCGGCUAGGGGGUCAUCCCGACUUACCAACCCGAUGCAAACUACGAAUACCGAAGAAUGUUAUCACGGGAGACACACGGCGGGUGCUAACGUCCGUCGUGAAGAGGGAAACAACCCAGACCGCCAGCUAAGGUCCCAAAGUCAUGGUUAAGUGGGAAACGAUGUGGGAAGGCCCAGACAGCCAGGAUGUUGGCUUAGAAGCAGCCAUCAUUUAAAGAAAGCGUAAUAGCUCACUGGUCGAGUCGGCCUGCGCGGAAGAUGUAACGGGGCUAAACCAUGCACCGAAGCUGCGGCAGCGACACUAUGUGUUGUUGGGUAGGGGAGCGUUCUGUAAGCCGUUGAAGGUGGCCUGUGAGGGUUGCUGGAGGUAUCAGAAGUGCGAAUGCUGACAUAAGUAACGAUAAUGCGGGUGAAAAACCCGCACGCCGGAAGACCAAGGGUUCCUGUCCAACGUUAAUCGGGGCAGGGUGAGUCGACCCCUAAGGCGAGGCCGAAAGGCGUAGUCGAUGGGAAACAGGUUAAUAUUCCUGUACUUGGUGUUACUGCGAAGGGGGGACGGAGAAGGCUAUGUUGGCCGGGCGACGGUUGUCCCGGUUUAAGCGUGUAGGUGUGUGUUCCAGGUAAAUCCGGUUCACUUUAACACUGAGGCGUGAUGACGAGGCACUACGGUGCUGAAGUGACAAAUGCCCUGCUUCCAGGAAAAGCCUCUAAGCAUCAGGUAACAUCAAAUCGUACCCCAAACCGACACAGGUGGUCAGGUAGAGAAUACCAAGGCGCUUGAGAGAACUCGGGUGAAGGAACUAGGCAAAAUGGUGCCGUAACUUCGGGAGAAGGCACGCUGAUAUGUAGGUGAAGUGGUUUACCCAUGGAGCUGAAAUCAGUCGAAGAUACCAGCUGGCUGCAACUGUUUAUUAAAAACACAGCACUGUGCAAACACGAAAGUGGACGUAUACGGUGUGACGCCUGCCCGGUGCCGGAAGGUUAAUUGAUGGGGUUAUCCGUAAGGAGAAGCUCUUGAUCGAAGCCCCGGUAAACGGCGGCCGUAACUAUAACGGUCCUAAGGUAGCGAAAUUCCUUGUCGGGUAAGUUCCGACCUGCACGAAUGGCGUAAUGAUGGCCAGGCUGUCUCCACCCGAGACUCAGUGAAAUUGAACUCGCUGUGAAGAUGCAGUGUACCCGCGGCAAGACGGAAAGACCCCGUGAACCUUUACUAUAGCUUGACACUGAACACUGGUCCUUGAUGUGUAGGAUAGGUGGGAGGCUUUGAAGCGUGGACGCCAGUCUGCGUGGAGCCAUCCUUGAAAUACCACCCUUUAAUGGCUGGUGUUCUAACGUGGGCCCGUAAUCCGGGUUGCGGACAGUGUCUGGUGGGUAGUUUGACUGGGGCGGUCUCCUCCUAAAGAGUAACGGAGGAGCACGAAGGUCAGCUAAUCCUGGUCGGACAUCAGGAGGUUAGUGCAAUGGCAUAAGCUGGCUUGACUGCGAGCGUGACGGCGCGAGCAGGUGCGAAAGCAGGUCAUAGUGAUCCGGUGGUUCUGAAUGGAAGGGCCAUCGCUCAACGGAUAAAAGGUACUCCGGGGAUAACAGGCUGAUACCGCCCAAGAGUUCAUAUCGACGGCGGUGUUUGGCACCUCGAUGUCGGCUCAUCACAUCCUGGGGCUGAAGUAGGUCCCAAGGGUAUGGCUGUUCGCCAUUUAAAGUGGUACGCGAGCUGGGUUUAGAACGUCGUGAGACAGUUCGGUCCCUAUCUGCCGUGGGCGCUGGAGAAUUGAGGGGGGCUGCUCCUAGUACGAGAGGACCGGAGUGGACGCAUCACUGGUGUUCGGGUUGUCAUGCCAAUGGCAUUGCCCGGUAGCUAAAUGCGGAAGAGAUAAGUGCUGAAAGCAUCUAAGUACGAAACUUGCCCCGAGAUGAGUUCUCCCUGACCCUUUAAGGGUCCUGAAGGAACGUUGAAGACGACGACGUUGAUAGGCCGGGUGUGUAAGCGCAGCGAUGCGUUGAGCUAACCGGUACUAAUGAACCGUGAGGCUUAACCUU
This 2906-nucleotide ribosomal RNA is filed under the name Klebsiella sp. BDA134-6. RNAcentral's name for it is "23S ribosomal RNA". It matches the Rfam family "Bacterial large subunit ribosomal RNA". Lineage: Bacteria; Pseudomonadati; Pseudomonadota; Gammaproteobacteria; Enterobacterales; Enterobacteriaceae. The record is from RNAcentral.